CCUGGUAUCUAUGAUGAGCUUAUUUUCUGAAUUGUUUUCCUAUAUAUUAUACUUUAUUAUGUCAAUUUUAACAUUGUUUUGUCAUUACAGUACCUUAGAAACUGUGUGUUUAUGAUUGCCAAGAGGAAAGGAGUUUUUCACUGAAUUUUUAUGAGAAGGUUAAUAUCAACAGGUCAUUUUCAAUAUGCUUCACUUGUAUAUUUAGUGGAC
RNAcentral lists this long non-coding RNA (210 nucleotides) under Mytilus galloprovincialis (Mediterranean mussel). Lineage: Eukaryota; Metazoa; Mollusca; Bivalvia; Mytilida; Mytilidae. The record is from RNAcentral.